GUCUCAAGAUUAAGCCAUGCAUGUCUAUGUACAAGCCGUCUCGUUACGGUGAAACCGCGAAAGGCUCAUUAAAUCAGUUAUGGUUCCUUAGAUCGUACCCACGUUACAUGGAUAACUGUGGUAAUUCUAGAGCUAAUACAUGCCGAUAGAGCUCCGACCAGCGGCUUACGCGGCGGUUCCGCCGUCGUCGUCGGCCGUUCGGAAGGAGCGCUUUUAUUAGAUCAAAACCGGCCAAGCGUAUCGGUCGCGCUUCGCGCGCGUCCGUGCGUAAGUGGCCCGCGCAAAGACUUGACGACUCUGAAUAACUUCGAGCAGAUCGUACGGCCCUGGUGCCGACGACGUAUCUUUCAAAUGUCUGCCUUAUCAACUGUCGACGGUAGGUUUUACGCCUACCGUGGUGGUAACGGGUAACGGGGAAUCAGGGUUCGAUUCCGGAGAGGGAGCCUGAGAAACGGCUACCACAUCCAAGGAAGGCAGCAGGCGCGCAAAUUAUCCAUUCACGGCACGUGGAGAUAGUGACGAAAAAUAACGAUACGGGACUCAUCCGAGGCCCCGUAAUCGGAAUGAGUACACUUUAAAACCUUGGUCACGCGAGGAUCAAUUGGAGGGCAAGUCUGG
RNAcentral lists this ribosomal RNA (618 nucleotides) under Drepanococcus chiton. RNAcentral's name for it is "bacterial SSU rRNA". It matches the Rfam family "Eukaryotic small subunit ribosomal RNA", at positions 34 to 564 of the family's 1831-position model. Lineage: Eukaryota; Metazoa; Arthropoda; Insecta; Hemiptera; Coccidae. The record is from RNAcentral.